Rana temporaria (common frog) is the source of this 3027-nucleotide long non-coding RNA. RefSeq lists it as uncharacterized. Lineage: Eukaryota; Metazoa; Chordata; Amphibia; Anura; Ranidae. The record is from RefSeq and is a predicted model, not a curated record. The transcript is spliced from 2 exons.
AACAUUUGGGGUUAAAAGAAUACAUAUAAAGAUCGCACAUAAUACAUGUUUCAUAGUGCUCCAUAUAAAGGGAUAUGAUGAACUGAAGAUCAGCCAUUUGUCCCUGUUAGAGUUUAAACAAAGGUUCUCAGGCAUGAAUGGACACUGUUUUUAGGUUGUAAAGAGCCUGCCUGUGCUAUCUCCCCAAAUCAUAUCUCCUGGGGUUUGACACUUAUAAGAUAAGAGAAUGAAAAUCCUGGCACGGCAUGACACUAAACACAGUGUGGUCUCUGUGUUAUGAAACUAAAAGGGCUAUUCACAAAUCCCAGUGAAAUUAUAUAUCUUAAAUAGUAUUGUAUCUUUAUAAUGCCACAACAACAACAUGUAUAUCAGUAAUUCACAUAAUACUACUCGUUAAUACAUAGACACUACUGGGGUCCCAGGUAUAAGAUCCUAAAAUAACUUCAAAGUAUUAGACUGCCUUGAUCACAGCCCGACAUUAGUUUAAAGGAACUUUCCAAGGCAUGUGUGUUGAUCAUAAAACCUUAUCUCAAUCAUAACUUUAGAUGUCUGACAAUUGUUUGACAUACAGGACAAUUUAUGGGGGGGUUUUAUAGGCCCAAGUUAGAGAGGUCAUAAGUCAUGAUUAACUCUGCUUGACCUCAUCAUUAGGAAUAAUUCCUUACACGCUACUGCCCCCUACAGGUUAAUAUCGGCAUUGGUUAAGUAUAGACUUAUCAAAACCUAUUAUUAUGUGACAUCGGCAGUCAUGUGAUAGUGAUGUGACACACCCACUUCUUGGGAGAGAUAAAAAGGGAUUACAGCAGACAGGAGAGAGGCUGAUGGGAAGAAGCUUGAUGGGAGAGAGAUGGCUGAUCUCUGGAAGCUGCUCUGAUCUCUGAAGGAAGCUGGAAAGCAGAGAGUGACCGCAAACACGUAGGGGCUCUCAAGAGUCCUUCAUUAGGACUUUCCCUUCUCAAACAGAAAGAUCUCUUAUUACUGAAAAUGAUUGACAAUCCAGACCAGAUCGUUGAUUGGUAAAGGUGAAGUGAUCUACCAAAGACGCAACGAUCGCAUGGAUGAUGUUAAUCCUUGGCACCCCAUUCCGGAGGGAACCGUCACCAAACCACACUCCAGACCAGAUCGUUGAUUGGUAAAGGCGAAGUUAACCACCAAAAGAUACCGCGAUCGUCUGGAUGAUGUUAAUCCGUGAUGCCCAGUUAAGGAUGGAACCUGCCGCCACAUCGAAUCCUUCAUCAGGAGUCAUGAAGCGAGAUGCUCCAGGAUUCGUAUUGUCGGAAAGAAAGAUUUGUUGCAGAAGUCCCUUGUUCAUUUGAAUCCAAGAAUAUCCGUCGAAAGAAGGGAUAUUGAGUCCCAUUUACAGCUUGUAACACUACAAGAGCGGAUUCACUGAAGAGUUCUUCAAUUGCUGGUUUUCCAGUUUUGUUUUUAUUACAUUUGAAAUGGGGGGGUGACACCACCACUGCAACAGUUCAUUUUGUUUUUAUAAAGACUUGAACUCGUCAAGGAAGAUCCAAGUCAUACAAGAACACUCUUUAUCAUAUGGACGAAGAGAGGAACAUUUUUUUUUUAGUAUAAAGAAAAAUAAUAAUGUGGCCAUAUCUUUUAACCACUGAUAUUUCUUCGGACACCGUUUCUUAACAUGUGUUUGGCUAUUCGCCACACUAUGAAAGAACGUGGGGGGGAUUUGUCGGAACAUUUGGGGUUAAAAGAAUACAUAUAAAGAUCGCACAUAAUACAUGUUUCAUAGUGCUCCAUAUAAAGGGAUAUGAUGAACUGAAGAUCAGCCAUUUGUCCCUGUUAGAGUUUAAACAAAGGUUCUCAGGCAUGAAUGGACACUGUUUUUAGGUUGUAAAGAGCCUGCCUGUGCUAUCUCCCCAAAUCAUAUCUCCUGGGGUUUGACACUUAUAAGAUAAGAGAAUGAAAAUCCUGGCACGGCAUGACACUAAACACAGUGUGGUCUCUGUGUUAUGAAACUAAAAGGGCUAUUCACAAAUCCCAGUGAAAUUAUAUAUCUUAAAUAGUAUUGUAUCUUUAUAAUGCCACAACAACAACAUGUAUAUCAGUAAUUCACAUAAUACUACUCGUUAAUACAUAGACACUACUGGGGUCCCAGGUAUAAGAUCCUAAAAUAACUUCAAAGUAUUAGACUGCCUUGAUCACAGCCCGACAUUAGUUUAAAGGAACUUUCCAAGGCAUGUGUGUUGAUCAUAAAACCUUAUCUCAAUCAUAACUUUAGAUGUCUGACAAUUGUUUGACAUACAGGACAAUUUAUGGGGGGGUUUUAUAGGCCCAAGUUAGAGAGGUCAUAAGUCAUGAUUAACUCUGCUUGACCUCAUCAUUAGGAAUAAUUCCUUACACGCUACUGCCCCCUACAGGUUAAUAUCGGCAUUGGUUAAGUAUAGACUUAUCAAAACCUAUUAUUAUGUGACAUCGGCAGUCAUGUGAUAGUGAUGUGACACACCCACUUCUUGGGAGAGAUAAAAAGGGAUUACAGCAGACAGGAGAGAGGCUGAUGGGAAGAAGCUUGAUGGGAGAGAGAUGGCUGAUCUCUGGAAGCUGCUCUGAUCUCUGAAGGAAGCUGGAAAGCAGAGAGUGACCGCAAACACGUAGGGGCUCUCAAGAGUCCUUCAUUAGGACUUUCCCUUCUCAAACAGAAAGAUCUCUUAUUACUGGUAAUGUAUAAUUUUGAUCUUAAAUCCUCUAUGCAAUAGGUAGUUUAAACAGUUACCAACUGGGGCCACUUUAUUAUCUUAGCAAGUGUUAAUUGGAUCUGAAAUAUCUUUAACUGCAGCAUAAGAUUAUUCAGAGGCAAUUAAAUAAGUAACGCCUAGACGUGCUGUAAAUAGACACUUGUUACAUAUAUCGAUCACAAUAUCAUUGUGAGUCCUAGUGAAUGGCCUAAUGUUGGGAUAUGUUUAAACAGGUGAUGCAGUAGAGAUAGCCUUGUGUGUUAAAAAGACAUUCUUGGCCAAAUUACCAAGAACUGUCCACAGGACAUCUUGUCCUUGUGUUUUAUGUAGCAGU